UUCUAUGGCCAUGUAACCUUGAGUAUGACUGCUUUUGUCUGAUCUUGGAAGAUAAGUAAAGAUAGGCCUGGUUAGUACCUAGAUGAGAGACCACUUGGGUACAAUGAGAGGCACCAUGAUAU
This 122-nucleotide ribosomal RNA is filed under the name Notamacropus eugenii (tammar wallaby). Lineage: Eukaryota; Metazoa; Chordata; Mammalia; Diprotodontia; Macropodidae. The record is from RNAcentral.